UUCCCGAUCCGCUAACGGUAAGCGGCCCGACUGUUAAUCGGUCCAUCCAGGUUCGAGUCCUGGUCGGGGAGCCA
This 74-nucleotide transfer RNA is filed under the name Bradyrhizobium sp. 41S5. Its description in RNAcentral is "tRNA-Asn". It matches the Rfam family "tRNA". Rfam says of the family: Transfer RNA (tRNA) molecules are approximately 80 nucleotides in length. Lineage: Bacteria; Pseudomonadati; Pseudomonadota; Alphaproteobacteria; Hyphomicrobiales; Nitrobacteraceae. The record is from RNAcentral.